Molecule: ribosomal RNA, 253 nt
Filed under: uncultured bacterium
Lineage: Bacteria
Description: partial 16S ribosomal RNA
Rfam family: Bacterial small subunit ribosomal RNA
Source: RNAcentral
UACAGAGGUCCCAAGCGUUGUUCGGAUUUACUGGGCGUAAAGGGUGCGUAGGUGGUGAGGUAAGUCUAAUGUGAAAUCUCCGAGCUCAACUCGGAAACUGCAUCGGAAACUACCUCGCUUGAGGGUUGGAGGGGGGACUGGAAUUCUCGGUGUAGCAGUGAAAUGCGUAGAUAUCGAGAGGAACACCAGUGGCGAAGGCGAGUCCCUGGACAACUCCUGACACUGAGGCACGAAAGCUAGGGGAGCAAACAGG